GAUGAACGCUGGCGGCGUGCCUAAUACAUGCAAGUCGAGCGAACAGACGAGGAGCUUGCUCCUCUGACGUUAGCGGCGGACGGGUGAGUAACACGUGGAUAACCUACCUAUAAGACUGGGAUAACUUCGGGAAACCGGAGCUAAUACCGGAUAAUAUAUUGAACCGCAUGGUUCAAUAGUGAAAGACGGUUUUGCUGUCACUUAUAGAUGGAUCCGCGCCGCGUUAGCUAGUUGGUAAGGUAACGGGUUACCAAGGCAACGAUGCGUAGCCGACCUGAGAGGGUGAUCGGCCACACUGGAACUGAGACACGGUCCAGACUCCUACGGGAGGCAGCAGUAGGGAAUCUUCCGCAAUGGGCGAAAGCCUGACGGAGCAACGCCGCGUGAGUGAUGAAGGUCUUCGGAUCGUAAAACUCUGUUAUUAGGGAAGAACAAAUGUGUAAGUAACUAUGCACGUCUUGACGGUACCUAAUCAGAAAGCCACAGCUAACUACGUG
This 497-nucleotide ribosomal RNA is filed under the name uncultured bacterium. RNAcentral describes it as "partial 16S ribosomal RNA". It matches the Rfam family "Bacterial small subunit ribosomal RNA", at positions 28 to 507 of the family's 1533-position model. The record is from RNAcentral.